This 506-nucleotide ribosomal RNA is filed under the name uncultured bacterium. RNAcentral's name for it is "partial 16S ribosomal RNA". It matches the Rfam family "Bacterial small subunit ribosomal RNA", at positions 29 to 523 of the family's 1533-position model. The record is from RNAcentral.
AUUGAACGCUGGCGGCAGGCCUAACACAUGCAAGUCGGACGGUAGCACAGAGGAGCUUGCUCCUCGGGUGACGAGUGGCGGACGGGUGAGUAAUGUCUGGGGAUCUGCCCGAUAGAGGGGGAUAACCACUGGAAACGGUGGCUAAUACCGCAUAACGUCGCAAGACCAAGGAGGGGGACCUUCGGGCCUCUCACUAUCGGAUGAACCCAGAUGGGAUUAGCUAGUAGGCGGGGUAAUGGCCCACCUAGGUGACGAUCCCUAGCUGGUCUGAGAGGAUGACCAGCCACACUGGAACUGAGACACGGUCCAGACUCCUACGGGAGGCAGCAGUGGGGAAUAUUGCACAAUGGGCGCAAGCCUGAUGCAGCCAUGCCGCGUGUAUGAAGAAGGCCUUCGGGUUGUAAAGUACUUUCAGCGGGGAGGAAGGCGGUGAGGUUAAUAACCUUGCCGAUUGACGUUACCCGCAGAAGAAGCACCGGCUAACUCCGUGCCAGCAGCCGCGGUAA